UACGAAGGGGGCUAGCGUUGUUCGGAAUCACUGGGCGUAAAGAGCGCGCAGGCGGUCGUUCAAGUCGAGUGUGAAAGCCCCCGGCUCAACUGGGGAGGGUCAUUCGAUACUGAUCGACUCGAAGGCAGGAGAGGGAAGUGGAAUUCCCGGUGUAGUGGUGAAAUGCGUAGAUAUCGGGAGGAACACCAGUGGCGAAGGCGACUUCCUGGCCUGUUCUUGACGCUGAGGCGCGAAAGCUAGGGGAGCAAACGGG
This 253-nucleotide ribosomal RNA is filed under the name uncultured bacterium. Its description in RNAcentral is "partial 16S ribosomal RNA". It matches the Rfam family "Bacterial small subunit ribosomal RNA", at positions 524 to 776 of the family's 1533-position model. The record is from RNAcentral.